GAUGAACGCUGGCGGCGUGCCUAAUACAUGCAAGUCGAGCGAACAGACGAGGAGCUUGCUCCUCUGACGUUAGCGGCGGACGGGUGAGUAACACGUGGAUAACCUACCUAAGACUGGGAUAACUUCGGGAAACCGGAGCUAAUACCGGAUAAUAUAUUGAACCGCAUGGUUCAAUAGUGAAAGACGGUUUUGCUGUCACUUAUAGAUGGAUCCGCGCCGCAUUAGCUAGUUGGUAAGGUAACGGCUUACCAAGGCAACGAUGCGUAGCCGACCUGAGAGGGUGAUCGGCCACACUGGAACUGAGACACGGUCCAGACUCCUACGGGAGGCAGCAGUAGGGAAUCUUCCGCAAAGGGCGAAAGCCUGACGGAGCAACGCCGCGUGAGUGAUGAAGGUCUUCGGAUCGUAAAACUCUGUUAUUAGGGAAGAACAAAUGUGUAAGUAACUAUGCACGUCUUGACGGUACCUAAUCAGAAAGCCACGGCUAACUACGUG
This 495-nucleotide ribosomal RNA is filed under the name uncultured bacterium. RNAcentral describes it as "partial 16S ribosomal RNA". It matches the Rfam family "Bacterial small subunit ribosomal RNA", at positions 28 to 507 of the family's 1533-position model. The record is from RNAcentral.